AGAGUUUGAUCCUGGCUCAGAUUGAACGCUGGCGGCAUGGCUAAAACAUGCAAGUCGAACGAGAACCUCGCAAGAGGGGACAGUGGCGGAAGGGUCAGUAAUGGGAUCGAAUGUACCCCGAGGUGGAGGAUAGCGUUGGGAAACUAACGGUAAUACUCCAUGUCCUCUACGGAGAAAAGAUUUAUCGCCUUGGGAGCAGCGAUCCUCCUAUCAGGUAGUUGGCGGGGUAAAAGCCCACCAAGCCGAAGACGGGUAGCGGGUGUGAGAGCACGGCCCGCGACAUCGAGACUGAGACACUGCUCGGACUCCUACGGGAGGCUGCAGUAACGAAUAUUCCGCAAUGCGCGAAAGCGUGACGGAGCAAUGCCGCGUGCAGGAUGAAGCGGUUUUGCCGUGUAAACUGCUGUCAGGGAUAAGAAAUACUGAUCUAUCCCAGAGGAAGGGGCGACUAACUCUGUGCCAGCAGUCGCGGUAAUACAGAGGCCCCGAGCGUUAAUCGGAAUCACUGGGCUUAAAGGGUGCGUAGGCGGGUCAGUAAGCGCUUUGUGAAAUCCCACAGCUCAACUGUGGAACCGCAGGGCGAACUGCUGAUCUUGAGGAAGCUAGAGGCUGGUAGAACGAUAGGUGGAGCGGUGGAAUGCGUAGAGAUCUAUCGGAAUGCCGAAAGUGAAGACAGCCAGCUGGGGCUUUCCUGACGCUAAAGCACGAAAGCGUGGGGAGCAAACCGGAUUAGAUACCCGGGUAGUCCACGCCCUAAACGAUGUGCACUAGACUGGAGCGGCUCUGACGUCGUUCUGGUCGUAGAGAAAUUGUUAAGUGCACCGCCUGGGUAGUACGGUCGCAAGGCUAAAACUCAAAGGAAUUGACGGGGGCUCACACAAGCGGUGGAGCAUGUUGCUUAAUUCGAAGCAACGCGAAGAACCUUACCUGGGUUUGACAUGUACGGAUUAACCGGUGGAAACACUGGCCACACUCGCAAGAGUGGAACGUACACAGGUGCUGCAUGGCUGUCGUCAGCUCGUGCUGUGAAGUGUCGGGUUAAGUCCCUUAACGAGCGCAACCCUUGUCGCUAGUUGCUAACAGGUAAUGCUGAGGACUCUAGCGAGACUGCCGGUGUCAAACCGGAGGAAGGCGGGGAUGACGUCAAGUCCUCAUGGCCCUUACAUCCAGGGUUGCAAACGUGCUACAAUGGUGCAUACAGAGCGACGCAAGACCGCAAGGUGGAGCAAAUCGCAAAAAAUGCACCCCAGUUCGGAUUGCAGGCUGCAACUCGCCUGCAUGAAGCCGGAAUCGCUAGUAAUCGGAGAUCAGCUACGCUCCGGUGAAUAAGUUCCUGAGCCUUGUACACACCGCCCGUCAAGUCAUGGGAGCCGGUAGUGCCCGAAGUCGCCACAUCACUGUGGUGCCCACGGCAAGAUCGGUGACUGGGACUAAGUCGAAACAAGGUAGCCGUAGGAACCUGCGGCUG
This 1468-nucleotide ribosomal RNA is filed under the name metagenome. RNAcentral's name for it is "bacterial SSU rRNA". It matches the Rfam family "Bacterial small subunit ribosomal RNA". The record is from RNAcentral.